ACAGAUUUCAAUACACUUCCUUUGCUUCUUUCCUCAGCUAUGUUGUCUUAUGGCUUCAAGAUGGCCACUACAUGUCUACACAUCAAGAAAACCAAAGCUUUUAACCUGUCAGAUCUGGAAUUACAUGGUCAGCAGCAGUGAGGCUGUGCUGGUCACAGAGAAGCGGACUCACCAGGUCCACGUAUGAAAGUCACGUGCGGAGCGGGAGGGAGAGAGGACCACUGGCAAAUGCGCUCAACUAGCACCUUCAUUGCAAAACAAGGUUAGCCAAAGUUUGAGGUGGCAGAGCUACAAAAUGAAAACAAUUCAUAUUGCUGAGCCACUGUGAAGAAAACAGCUGCCAUGAAGAGAUCAGCGAAGAGCUAUAAGAACAGGAUAAAUACCCAUCUGCCUGGAAAAUUGCCUGGAGGCAGGGUGAUGGACUAGAUGUCUUACUUAGAUUCCUUCCAACCCUCGGAUUCAGAGCUCUCCACUGCUGCCAACAGAGUUAGUUCUGCUGGGAUACGUUCAGGACUGCAGACCCUGCUGCCUAUGAUUUUGCCAGUGCCUCCCCUUGGCCAAACCUACCGAAAUCCAGUUGGCACAGGAACCUGGGGAAUGUCAUUCCCAGAGAUAGGAAGCAGAGCAGAGGAAGGACCCUGUUGAAGUAGAAAGUCCUUUCUUCAAUCCUAUUGCUCGCACUUUCUUUCACAAGACUGAAUUUUUGGAGACAUUGAGAAAUGAGAUGAAUUAGGAAGUAUCCUAUGGUUUAACAGCUGAUAAAUGGGGUAUGCAUUUUCUUUGGUUUUUUUCUCUCAGGCAUUUUUGGUCCCACUUCAGUUUAAUUUAUUAGAUAUAGGUAUAUUUGUAAUUAAAGUUAUG
Molecule: long non-coding RNA, 861 nt
Organism: Ailuropoda melanoleuca (giant panda)
Lineage: Eukaryota; Metazoa; Chordata; Mammalia; Carnivora; Ursidae
Exons: 6
Source: RefSeq, a predicted model, not a curated record